RNAcentral lists this long non-coding RNA (1981 nucleotides) under Olea europaea subsp. europaea. The record is from RNAcentral. Lineage: Eukaryota; Viridiplantae; Streptophyta; Magnoliopsida; Lamiales; Oleaceae.
UUAGAUUCAAAGAAUAAAAAUUGGUUUCAUACUCUAUUUUUGUCUUUUUUCAAAAGAUAAGUAGUUUUAUACUUUAUUUAUUUUUAUAAUUUUUCAAUAUAAAAAACUAGACCAGAUCGAAUCGGAAUCAAUUGGUUCGGUUCUGGUUCAAUUCGAUUCUAGAGUUAGAUAUGAAACCUAUGGCUCCAUUUCCAAGAUUCUCAUUGGUAUUCGGUUCGGCUCAAUUCCUUUGAGAACCGGACCGAACCAAAUCUCGCCCACUCCUAAUUAUUGGUUCAAGGUCUGGGAGUUUGUAUUUUUUUGUUUUUUUUUAUAGCCUUAAUUAUCGAUAGACUAUCCAAGAAAGAUUAAUUGGAAAAUUUUCGAUGGAAAUAUUUUCACUUGAAUUCUAACUUUUGGACCGGUUGAUUGCUAUUUUUUCUAUAAAAAUAUUUUCAAACAUUUGAAAAUAUGCCUAGUGUUUUUUUUUUUUUUUUUUUGACGAAAACAUUUUGUUAAGUAGAUUUUUGUUUUUCCUCAAAAUAAGGAAAACAUAUUCUUUUCUAAGAAAUAUUUUCCACACUAAUCGAGCCCACUCAAGUAGUGGGACUUGAUUAAUAAUAUGGAUAUAUAAAUUCAACUGCGCCCUCUAAGGUAAAUGAAAAUAUUCACCAAUUAAACUUCUCCAUUCUAACUUGACUUUUGAAGCGAGAGCAGUCCCCCAUACUGGUCUGCAUCAAGCUCACUAAUUGCAUCUUAUUUUAAACAAUUUUUAGUAAGCAAGUUGUGCAGCUGACAAGAAGUUUCGUUAUGAUUUCUAUGUACAGUGACAAGAAAAAUAUGAUCAUCCUUUUUUUUUUCUUUGUUUUUUUGUAAAUAUCGUGUUCAAUCCUGUCUAGUAAUAUAUUUGGAUAUAAACAUAUUAGCACAAUCUUCCAAAGGAAAUUCACAUGCAUUUGUUUGUAUGUGCAUUGAGAAAAAGGCGUUUCAACUCCUAGCUCAGAACAAGUAUUCUCAACAACUGGCACUCAUUAUCUGCAUCACACAUGCACAAUCCAAAUUAUAUUUCACUUUAAGCAGCUUAUGAGUGUCUUCUCUCUGUUUAUUUUCUACAAUGGCCUCUUCCAUUAUUCUCUUUAUGUUUUCUUCCUUGUUAACUAUCUCAUUCCCUUUGCAAGUUGAACCCAAAAAACCCGACUCGAAAUCCCAGUCCCAGAUCAUUGUCAUGGGCAUGGUAUAUUGUGACUUCUGCUCCAACAACACCUUCUCCAAGCACAGCUACUUCUUGCCGGGUAAGGAAGAUUGAACAGUACUCGUACUUUACCGUAUAAUAGUUUUAUUAUAAAAUCAUAACUCUGUCAUUUUUUAUUGGAUCUAACCAGGAGUAGAAGUUAGAAUAGAUUGCAUAUUCAUAGCAAUUUCUUCAAGAACAACAGAACGGAUAUCAUUUUCGGUGAACAGAACUACAAAUAAGUAUGGAAUAUACAUAUUUGAAGUGCCUAGUGUUGAUGGUGUUCAAUGUGCCAGAGACAAAGCAGUUGGGAAUUCCUGCAGAGCCAGCUUAACAGGGAUAAGACCAUCUUCUUCUUCCUGUAAUAUUCCAGGAUUUAGGACUACAUCGGAUGAAAUUUCAAUCAAAUCCAAACGAGAAAACACUUGCAUUUAUAGUCUCAGUCCAUUGAGUUACAGACCAUCCAAGAGAGAGAUUGACUUGUGUGGAAAAUAAGGAACCAACAUUCUUGGAUCUACACGUCUUGUUCUCAUCUCUUUGAGGCAAUCAUUGAGACAUCUACAGGAUACUCGAACAAUAUUAAAGAAGUUAAAUAUUCUUGUUUGCUGUCUUGUAUGGUGGUGUCUAGUAAAUCGUUCUAUGUUUCUCAAGAAUUUAUGUAAUCUGUAUUUGGUUUUUGGCAUAUGGUUCAUUUAUAUGUACCUCAAGAAAGAUUAUAAGGGUUUUAAUUAGGCAAAAUGUAUGCAGAUAAUUUUGGAUGCUAAAAAUUCC